This 525-nucleotide ribosomal RNA is filed under the name uncultured bacterium. Its description in RNAcentral is "bacterial SSU rRNA". It matches the Rfam family "Bacterial small subunit ribosomal RNA", at positions 355 to 896 of the family's 1533-position model. The record is from RNAcentral.
UGGGGAAUUUUGCGCAAUGGGGGAAACCCUGACGCAGCAACGCCGCGUGGAGGAUGAAAUAUCUUGGUAUGUAAACUCCUUUCGAUGGGGAAGAUUAUGACGGUACCCAUAGAAGAAGCCCCGGCUAACUUCGUGCCAGCAGCCGCGGUAAUACGAGGGGGGCAAGCGUUGUUCGGAUUUAUUGGGCGUAAAGGGUGCGUAGGCGGUUUGGCAAGUCUUAUGUGAAAUCUUCGGGCUCAACCCGAAGCCUGCAUAAGAAACUGCCGGGCUUGAGUAUGGGAGAGGUGAGUGGAAUUUCCGGUGUAGCGGUGAAAUGCGUAGAUAUCGGAAGGAACACCUGUGGCGAAAGCGGCUCACUGGACCAUAACUGACGCUGAUGCACGAAAGCUAGGGGAGCAAACAGGAUUAGAUACCCUGGUAGUCCUAGCCCUAAACGAUGAUUGCUUGGUGUGGCAGGUACCCAAUCCUGCCGUGCCGAAGCUAACGCGAUAAGCAAUCCGCCUGGGGAGUACGGUCGCAAGGCUG